CUUUCUAGUAUCCAAAUAGUACAAGUGACUUCCAAUCACUCAGUCUUGGUUAGAGUCCAAGGAAAGAUA
This 69-nucleotide transfer RNA is filed under the name Sternopygus macrurus. RNAcentral describes it as "tRNA-Gly". It matches the Rfam family "tRNA". Rfam says of the family: Transfer RNA (tRNA) molecules are approximately 80 nucleotides in length. Their secondary structure includes four short double-helical elements and three loops (D, anti-codon, and T loops). The record is from RNAcentral. Lineage: Eukaryota; Metazoa; Chordata; Actinopteri; Gymnotiformes; Sternopygidae.